GAUGAACGCUGGCGGCGUGCCUAAUACAUGCAAGUCGAGCGAACAGAUGAGGAGCUUGCUCCUCUGACGUUAGCGGCGGACGGGUGAGUAACACGUGGAUAACCUACCUAUAAGACUGGGAUAACUUCGGGAAACCGGAGCUAAUACCGGAUAAUAUAUUGAACCGCAUGGUUCAAUAGUGAAAGACGGUUUUGCUGUCACUUAUAGAUGGAUCCGCGCCGCAUUAGCUAGUUGGUAAGGUAACGGCUUACCAAGGCAACGAUGCGUAGCCGACCUGAGAGGGUGAUCGGCCACACUGGAACUGAGACACGGUCCAGACUCCUACGGGAGGCAGCAGUAGGGAAUCUUCCGCAAUGGGCGAAAGCCUGACGGAGCAACGCCGCGUGAGUGAUGAAGGUCUUCGGAUCGUAAAACUCUGUUAUUAGGGAAGAACAAAUGUGUAAGUAGCUAUGCACGUCUUGACGGUACCUAAUCAGAAAGCCACGGCUAACUACGU
This 496-nucleotide ribosomal RNA is filed under the name uncultured bacterium. RNAcentral describes it as "partial 16S ribosomal RNA". It matches the Rfam family "Bacterial small subunit ribosomal RNA", at positions 28 to 506 of the family's 1533-position model. The record is from RNAcentral.